GCUGUUCUUUCCAUCAUGGGAAAAUUUUCAGGUAGCCAACUGUUUUGAAAUAAAAUUCCCUGCAGUUGCUAUAGUGAUGAUAAUAAAGUUCCUGCCUCAAUUUACGUGAUAGAGGUUCCUAGCAGAACACUUGAAAAGAGUCUAUGUUUGAUUUGAAGAGGUUGCUCAGUUCAGAAAUGAAUGAAAGCAGCUCCACCUUGGGCAUUCACUAGACCUGCAUCUAGAGGACUUCCAGAUUCUGAAGUUUCCUGCAACUGAAGUUCUGAGCAGCUCUGUUUCUCCUCAGAAGAUCUGUCUGUGUGCAUAUGUCAGCCCAGAAAGAUUGUGG
Gallus gallus (chicken) is the source of this 328-nucleotide long non-coding RNA. The record is from Ensembl. Lineage: Eukaryota; Metazoa; Chordata; Aves; Galliformes; Phasianidae.